RNAcentral lists this long non-coding RNA (1124 nucleotides) under Anser brachyrhynchus (Pink-footed goose). RNAcentral's name for it is "lncRNA (ENSABRG00000000687.1)". The record is from RNAcentral. Lineage: Eukaryota; Metazoa; Chordata; Aves; Anseriformes; Anatidae.
GCAUAGUCACGUUACUACCAGAGGCUGGACAGAGCAGGAAAUGGAAUGGGAAGUUGUACAAGAUCUCAGUUAAUGGCCAUGAAAAAACCCAUGCCCCUGGAUCGCCUCAACAGGUGAUGACCCAGUUACAUUAAUAAUCCAGUAUAGGAUUUUAUUCUCCUUAUUUACACAUGGUACUCCCAUUUAGACUCGUUUGAGUGAUUUAGCUUCAGCAGGAAAAAGGAGAUUUAAAUCUCUGGUUUCUUCUAUGCCUGUUUCAAGAAAGAAAUUAACUGUACUGUACAAAAGCAAAAGAACUCCAGGCUACAGAAUCUGACUACACUGAAAAUAAAAGCAGCAGUGGCAUUGUAGCAGGGAGUUACAAACGGAGGUCACUCUUCACUUUUAAACUUUAUACUUCAGUAAGGAAGGUCAUGAUUCAAGUUCUUGAAGGGGAAAGUUUUGCUUAGUUUAGUUUUGACAUUUCAGUAAGUUCACCACCACUGGUACGCUCCUGAAAAAAAAAGAAAAANAAAAAAAAAAAAAAAAAAAAAAAAAAAAAAAAACAAAAACCAACCAUGGAUUAUCUCAGGUAUCUUUCCAACUAUUAUUCCAGUCAGUAUAUGUCAUUAUUUUGAGUUUGAACACUGUGCUGAUUGAUGCUCAAGUGAAUCAGCCUUUUUUUUUUUCUCAGUAUCAAGCAAUUCAUUAAAAAUCUUAUUAAUUUUAGGAGUCUUGGAUGCCCCUUUUCUUUGCUGUGACCUGAAUGAGCCAAUUCAUAGCAGAUAGUCUGACCAUUUUCACUCUGUCCAGAUCAUAUUGUUUGGAUGUCUUGGGAAAACUACUUUGGAGAAGAAGAGAAAGACAAUUUCCUUACCAGGACACAUCAAAAUGGUUUUAGAAAGCUACCCAGGAGAACACCUGCAAUCUGUGGGAAGAUGGAACACCUGCUCCACUGUGAUUACUGAGAAAGGAAGUCAGCAUCUUUCGGUGUAAAACAACCCCUUCUUCAGAUCAAAAGUAAAGCAGAAAGACAGUAAGUUAUUUGUGUGGAACUAGCAUCAGCAUAAGGAGAGAAAAAGCACGCUUGGGACCAUUUGUUCUAAAAAAAUAAAAAUAAAAAUAAAAAAUAAAAAUAAAAAAUA